This 253-nucleotide ribosomal RNA is filed under the name uncultured bacterium. Its description in RNAcentral is "partial 16S ribosomal RNA". It matches the Rfam family "Bacterial small subunit ribosomal RNA", at positions 524 to 776 of the family's 1533-position model. The record is from RNAcentral.
UACAGAGGUCCCAAGCGUUGUUCGGAUUCACUGGGCGUAAAGGGUGCGUAGGUGGCAGGGUAAGUUUGAUGUGAAAUCUCCGAGCUUAACUCGGAAACUGCAUUGAAUACUAUCUUGCUCGAGGUUUGGAAGGGGGACUGGAAUUCUCGGUGUAGCAGUGAAAUGCGUAGAUAUCGAGAGGAACACCAGUGGCGAAGGCGAGUCCCUGGACAACACCUGACACUGAGGCACGAAAGCUAGGGGAGCAAACAGG